Molecule: transfer RNA, 73 nt
Filed under: Candidatus Cryptobacteroides avicola
Lineage: Bacteria; Pseudomonadati; Bacteroidota; Bacteroidia; Bacteroidales
Also listed under: 5 other names
Description: tRNA-Thr
Rfam family: tRNA
About the family: Transfer RNA (tRNA) molecules are approximately 80 nucleotides in length. Their secondary structure includes four short double-helical elements and three loops (D, anti-codon, and T loops).
Source: RNAcentral
GCCACUUUAGCUCAGUCGGUAGAGCAACGCAUUCGUAACGCGUAGGUCGUGGGUUCGAAUCCCAUGAGUGGCU